Molecule: RNA transcript, 4938 nt
Organism: Helicoverpa zea (corn earworm)
Lineage: Eukaryota; Metazoa; Arthropoda; Insecta; Lepidoptera; Noctuidae
Gene: Achi
Gene name: BEL1-like homeodomain protein 9
Exons: 8
Source: RefSeq, a predicted model, not a curated record
UAGCUUCCCGCCGUCCCCCGUCCGACAGUCGCGCUCUGUUCGGUUUGCUGUGCGUAGUUGAGCUGAAUUAUUUUUGUUUUCUACUUAUUCAGUGAUAUCACCGGACUUAUUUCUGGACCUGGACAAAGUUAUUAUUGUGUACUAGUGACUGAGUGACAAAAGAAGUGUUCGCAUGGAUUGAGUGAGCAACGAUGUUACCUCCCACGGCCGGUCUAUCACAAGAACAACGCGACCGGCCCGAAAUGGCGUACCAGCAGCGUCAGGACGUUAGAGAGCUCACCAGAGAAAUCAUCAGAAGUGCCCGAGUAGCAAACAGACAGCAUUCAACAUCCCCUGGAGUUCGAGACCGUUUCCCGUCGACAUCGUCCACGGACGACAAUGAGAGCGGCACGGAUGGCGAAGCCGACCGUUCCCGCCGCGUCAGCCUCAUCCACGGAGGAGUCCCCACCCCGCCCCCAGGGAUCGUCUCCAUACGCAAGAGACGAGGGAACUUAGCCAAACACUCCGUCAAAAUACUGAAGAAAUGGUUGUAUGAUCACCGGUACAAUGCGUACCCUAACGAUGCUGAGAAGAUUGCUUUAAGUCAGGAAGCGAAUUUGACGGUUUUGCAGGUAUGCAACUGGUUCAUAAACGCCCGUCGCCGCAUCCUGCCGGAGAUGAUUCGGCGGGAAGGCCACGACCCGCUGCACUACACCAUCUCGCGGCGCGGGCGCAAGCAGCCCGGGUCUUCCGGCGGCAACGCCAAUACGGCUGGCGUGGUCGUCGCAUCUUGGGAUGGUGUUGAAGUUGAAAACGACGCGGACCGCAGUACCGAACAAGAGUACAGCGACGGGCUCCUCGUGUACCGCAGCGACGGCGACGACAUCGGCGACGGAGAGGAGGGCUACUCCUCUAGCGCCGUCUCCGAGGAGGAGGUCAAGUACGAUCCCUCCGUCUGGCAGUCCGUCAUACGGUACGGACCAGAGAACCAGGAGCAGGAACAUCCUGCCGCCAGAGGUCGCACGGCGGGCGUGGUGGUGCGCACGGCGGAGGAGGAGGGCGCGGAGGGCGAGGCGGCGGGCGGCGGCGGCGGCGGCGGCGGCGGCGGCGGCGGCGGCGGCUGGCACCCGCAGCUCGCGCACCUGCCGCAGCUGCCGCACCCGCUGCGCAGGCGCACGCAGGUUGUGCCAGUGACUGGCGGCGGCGGUGGGGAGGGUGAACGCGACAAGUUCAAGUGCCUGUACCUGCUGGUGGAGACCGCCGUCGCCGUGCGCCAGCGCGAGAAGGAGCAGGAGGAGGUGCCCGUCUAGUCACUGCCAGGUACCUACACUGUCACUAGCGCUACUCAAGUGCCUGUACCUGCUGGUGGAGACCGCCGUCGCCGUGCGCCAGCGCGAGAAGGAGCAGGAGGAGGUGCCCGUCUAGUCACUGCCAGACUGCAGUAUGGAUUGGACCCGGCAGCGCCGCCAAACGGAAUUGUACGUUCACGCGGUAUUUAACGUUACAAUCUUCCACUAAUCUAGAGUCACUCUCACUUCACACCGCUUCGUUACAGCGGACUCCACACUCCUUUACCAAUCCUUUUCAUUUUAACCGUAGAUUAUACAUUCAUUGUAUAUGAGAAAAAAGUUCUCAAAUGCCCAGUUAUUGUUUGAUCGCUUUUGUUGCGAAUAUAAUUAAUAUUUUCAGAAUUCUGAUUGAUUUUCGUUUAAAAUGUUGUAAAAGCUAUGGCUCGAUAUUUUUUUGUAUAUUAGUUGACACUUUGAUUUACGCUGCAGAUUUGACAUGAAAAUAUACCAAUCAUCGAUCGCAAGUCGCCAUUUCAAGGGUAUUCUGAAUUAAUAAAUAAAACGAAUUAUUUUUGUCAUUAUUACCAGGAAUGGGGGAAAAUAACUAGCUGUUUUGAUGUAAUAGAUCGUAACAUUACUCUAUAUGUACUAUUAUAUCAGUAGCGUGCGGUCAUAUUUAUAUACUACUAGACUUGAGUAGUGCACGUUUUAUAUAAUGGAUAAAAUGCACUUUUACAUAUGUAUAUUGUGUAGAUUUUUAUACAUUAACUUCCAUUUAUAUGGCCUAUGGUCUGGUCAGUUAAAAUAGAUUGUAGUGGGUGGAAUCUGCUUAAAUAACUGAUGGUGCCCAUUAAUUGGUCAUCUUUCCCUGGUCUAUGCUGAAACCAUUAUGAUAUUGGAAGCACAAAAAAUACCACAAAGGAUGUAAAAUUGAGUGGAUUUAUUAUAAACAAAAUAGGGUUCAUUAACAUUUUAAUGGUAGAUUGAGUACUUGUAGGGUUGAUGAUUAAAACCUAUUUAAUAAUGUGCGAUAUUGAUAAUCGAAAUCUUGUCUAGUAUUUGUAAAACUGUGCACUAUUAAAGUAGAAUAUAAUUUUUUAGGAUACACAAUAUAUCAGUAGCCUUCCUAUAUUUAUUAUAAUUAGAAUGACAGACUGGUUAAUCCUUAUCUAUGGAAAAUAUUUACUCAGCUUGUAUUGUUCCUACCUAUUAUAAAGAAAAUAAAUAAUAUAAUACAAAUUUGAAUUAUUAUAAUAUAAUACAUAUACAUUGAAUAGGGGAACUGUAUCGUCCCAGUAAUAUUAAAAUUAUUGAAAAAUAUUUCUCAUAUAAUCACGACGUAACUCAUUAAUCUUGAAUAGAAAUCUUCGAAUACCAUCAUUACUUAAAUUUGGUCCAGUAACUAUUAAAAACAUGAAAAUAUAUAUCUAUCUAUUGGCGAAAAAUUUAGUAGUCCCAUUUAUAUUGGUUAAAUCUUUGUCCAUUAUAGAACACUAUAAACAUAGUCGUCCAUCAUGGGUUACCAAGAAGACUGGAAGCGAUAUAUUAUCAUAUAUAUUAAUUAUAUUUACCCAUAUCAAUCGGAUUUAUACCCGCCAAAAAUACUGUUUGUGCUACGCGCCGCUAUCAUUUCACUCAUAAUUGACAACGACUUUGAAUGCUUAAUAUCAUUAGAAGUUAUAGAAACCAGUUAUUUCUUACUCAUAAAACAGGCAGUCGGUUUUAUAUUCAAUUAGUAUAUUUAUAUGAUUGAAUAUUUUUGUAUUGCAAUCUCAACCAAGAAGGUUAUUAUUGCCUAGAUGUUAAAAUUACGCUUGAAAAAUAUCGAUUGUCAGGGAAUUACAAUGUAACAUGUAGGUACCAACAUUAUCAAACAUGCGUCUAUUUACUCCAUACAGGGGCUCAUUACCUAUAUUGACGGUGCGCAAAUGUAUUAUCAUUUGUUUAAUAUUCAUUCAUAUUGAAUGUCACCUCAAGCACAAUUUCUCAGCAACCAACUGUAUGGAGUAAUAUAGCAGUAACUAUUCAUAAAAAUAUAACUUGUGUCCUUGUAUAUAGUUUGUACACAUACAUAGUGUAUGUUAGGUCUAAAGUUUUGUAGCUUCUAGUUAUAUGUUAGUGCCAACGAGGCAAGGUUUAUGUAGCGUACCAUCUCGCGGUAAUUUCCGUGAUAAUUUAUUUAAGGGUGAUACUUUUAGUUGAGCAAAUCUUUGAUAAUACUAGCUGACCCAGCGUACCGCUUUCUUAAAUAAUAAAGCAACUACUGAAUGGAUUUUCACGCAGUUUUCUCCAUUCAUGCAGUAGUUUAAAAGGAAGGAUUAGAUGUAUAAUUUGAAGUGCGAAGCUGCGGUGGGUCUCUAGUAUCAUAGAAGUUUAAACGUAGCUAUUUUAGAAGGUUAUAUUAAUAUUCGCACUGAUAUCAAAUCACCCUUCUUUUUGUGUGAAAGCAAAUUAUCGAAGUAAUUACCAGAUUUAAUUUUAGUUUUCUAUUAAUUCUUAUGAUGUUCUAUCAACUUAAGCAGAAGCUUUAAAUGGAAGUAGGGACACGUUUUUAGAAUAAAAGUUGAGUCUUAAACAUAAAUUGAUUCUCUAACUAUAAAGGUGGCUUCCUGGUUUUGGUGUUGGAGCUAUCUUGAACACGAGUCCUAAUAAAUGUAUGAAAACAUUUAAAUCAUCAUUAUUAAUGUUCAACUCCAGUACACUCCAUACAAUAAUCGUCUCGAUAGAAUUUUGUACCAAAUAUAGUAUAAGAGCUAAUAUUUUUUGUGUUCAUGCAUAAACAUAAUAUUUUAUAGUAUUUUUCCAAGAUAUACUAAGCCAAGUGUAUUGGAGUUGUUUGUAAAUUUUUUAUAUGUAUUUAUUGGUUGUGAGUUUGGGAAAUCGCUGUGUGAAAAGAUGUACUUGUUUGUUAUAUGAUUACAUUUAUUUUGUUUGGUAGACCCAUUGGAAGACACUACAAAUACUCGAUGACGCAGAAUACUCGAAAAUUUGUCUUUUUCGUCAUAAAACGACUUGUUUUCGAUCAAUUAAAUGCAUAUUGCAAUGUGUCUACUAAACUUGAAAAUAGGGCAAUACGAUUGCUGGCGAUGAAUCAAUCACUACACAAGUUUCCAAAAAUCAUUUUAAUAUCAAACAUCAAUUAUUUCUAUAUUACAGUUGGAUCAAAUAUUACUAUUUCAUACGAUAUACUAUAUCCCUUUAUGACGCUUAGUUGAUAUUAAGUUAAUGUGUAUCGUAAAUGGUAAAUAUAGUUAAAGGUAUCACAAGUAUUUUAAUCUAGCUGGCGUGGAUAGUUUGUUCGUCAAAUACCUUUCAUUUAAUCCUACCCACAUAUUAUAAGUACAGGGAAUGUAUUUAAUCGCAAUUUACACACUAUGUUCUAUGAGGACAUAAAUCAUCAUUAUUUAAUUUAUUCAUAUUUGACCUUCUUGAUUACAAGACUCCGUCGUCCAGCCAGUUGCACUUACCGUAAGCAGUCAAUAUUAAUUAGCUCUUAAGUCGUUUGUUUUAAGGUGACUUUUCGUUUAACUCUUAAUAUAAGUAGGGUGUCAUUUUCGUUUCUUAAUUUACCUGAGUACAAUAACUUAGAACUUAGUAUUUUUCGUUCGUGUAAAUACUCCUGUGUAAGAUGCGUAAUCUGUUAGUGAAUAAAAUAAAAAUAAUUUCAAAA